RNAcentral lists this ribosomal RNA (221 nucleotides) under uncultured bacterium. RNAcentral describes it as "partial 16S ribosomal RNA". It matches the Rfam family "Bacterial small subunit ribosomal RNA", at positions 524 to 744 of the family's 1533-position model. The record is from RNAcentral.
UACGGAGGGUGCAAGCGUUAAUCGGAAUUACUGGGCGUAAAGCGCUCGUAGGCGGAUCGGACAGUCGGUGAAGAAAGACCCGGGCUCAACUCGGGGAACGGCACCGAUACUAUCGAUCUUGAGGCAAUCAGAGGGUGAUGGAAUUCCCGGUGUAGCGGUGAAAAUGCGUAGAUAUCGGGAGGAACACCAGUGGCGAAGGCGACUUCCUGGCCUGUUCUUUG